Coregonus clupeaformis (lake whitefish) is the source of this 230-nucleotide long non-coding RNA. RefSeq lists it as uncharacterized. The transcript is spliced from 3 exons. The record is from RefSeq and is a predicted model, not a curated record. NCBI's taxonomy places the organism in Eukaryota, Metazoa, Chordata, Actinopteri, Salmoniformes, Salmonidae.
CCACCUGAAAGAGCUGGACCUGAGCUACAAUCACCCAGGAGACUCUGCAGGGGGACUGCUUUCAGCUGCUCUGGUGGAUCCCACAGAUAAACUGAUGAAGCUGAUUGUGGAUCAUGGUGGAGAGUUCAGGCUGAAAUCAGGGCUGAGGAAAUAUGCCUGUCAUCUCACCCUGGACCCAAAUACAGCAAACCCACACCUGAUACUGUCUGAGGGGAACAGGAAGGUGACAU